RNAcentral lists this ribosomal RNA (810 nucleotides) under uncultured Actinomycetes bacterium. RNAcentral describes it as "bacterial SSU rRNA". It matches the Rfam family "Bacterial small subunit ribosomal RNA", at positions 335 to 1167 of the family's 1533-position model. Lineage: Bacteria; Bacillati; Actinomycetota; Actinomycetes. The record is from RNAcentral.
ACUCCUACGGGAGGCAGCAGUGGGGAAUCUUGCGCAAUGGGCGAAAGCCUGACGCAGCAACGCCGCGUGCGGGAAGAAGGCUCUCGGGUUGUAAACCGCUUUCAGAAGGAACGAAACUGACGGUACUUUCAGAAGAAGGUGCGGCCAACUACGUGCCAGCAGCCGCGGUGACACGUAGGCACCAAGCGUUGUCCGGAUUUAUUGGGCGUAAAGAGCUCGUAGGCGGUUCAGUAAGUCAGGUGUGAAAUCUUUGGGCUUAACCCAAGCGUGCAUUUGAUAGCUGUACUUGAGUUCGGUAGGGGAGUGGGGAAUUCCUAGUGUAGCGGUGAAAUGCGCAGAUAUUAGGAGGAACACCGGUGGCGAAGGCGCCACUCUGGGCCGAAACUGACGCUGAGGAGCGAAAGCGUGGGUAGCAAACAGGAUUAGAUACCCUGGUAGUCCACGCCGUAAACGUUGGGCACUAGGUGUGGGUUCCAACCAACGGAAUCGCGCCGUCGCUAACGCAUUAAGUGCCCCGCCUGGGGAGUACGGCCGCAAGGUUAAAACUCAAAGGAAUUGACGGGGGCCCGCACAAGCAGCGGAGUGUGUUGCUUAAUUCGAUGCAACGCGAAGAACCUUACCUGGGCUUGACAUGUGGGGAAAAGCGGUAGAGGUACGGUGUCCUUCGGGGCCUCACACAGGUGGUGCAUGGCUGUYGUCAGCUCGUGUCGUGAGAUGUUGGGUUAAGUCCCGCAACGAGCGCAACCCUUAUUCUAUGUUGCCAGCGGAUUAUGCCGGGGACUCGUAGAAGACUGCCGGGGUCAACUCGGA